Non-coding RNA from Tetranychus urticae (two-spotted spider mite), 281 nucleotides. The record is from RefSeq and is a predicted model, not a curated record. Lineage: Eukaryota; Metazoa; Arthropoda; Arachnida; Trombidiformes; Tetranychidae.
CCAAAUCAUUGAUAAAGUGAGAUGAGAAAAAGUGAAAAAUUGUUUUUCCUUUACUAUGAUCAUCCAAUUGAAUCAAAAUAAAUACAAAAGGAAAGCUUAAAUUGUACAUCAAACGGCAGGUAACCUUUUCACAGAAAUGGCAAAAAAGAGACAAACUUGGUAACCUUUUCUGGAUGUCAAAAUUUUCCAAAACAGAAUUGAUUGUUGUAAAAAAAGAUGACGAAUAUAGUCAGGCAAUUGCCAUUUUCCUUCAUUAAAUUAAAAUGUUCACUUUUCUUUGA